GUAUAUAACAUCCUGCCAUGCGAGUUUAGGUGGUUAACGUAUUCUUGGACACUCAAAUUCCCACCCCCCCCCCACCCCCACCAAUUUUUGGUUACUAUAUUAUGGCAACUGUGAGCAGAUUCCUGCCUUUUUAAGAGACACUACCGAUAUCUUAUUCCCUCAUCUUACGAUUCCAAUGUAGGCAUUAUAGUGUUUUAGAAAUGAAAGGACUGGGGUUCAAGGAGGGUAAGGAAUUGUCCCAAAGGCAGAGCCAGGUUUGGAGCCCAGGUCCUGCUAACUCCUAAGCCAGCCCUACCUAUUAUCACAUCUUGGGUGUGCUGGACUCUUAUGUUCGCCGUGUUGUGUUUUCUGUCUUUACAGAGCAUCGGGGCCUAUGAUGGAAGAAUGUUCUGGUACUCUCCUUUGCCAAAAUCUUAAUCCUCAUCUCUCUCCUUUCAUGUUCCCAUGGACACCUUGAACCCUUAGUCAGACGGAAGCCUUUCCAACGAGACCCUCUCCAUUGGAAAGCGGCCCGGCCGCUGCGCUGCCGCCGUUGACAGCUCCCAACUGCUGCGGCAACCUGAUUUUGUUCCGGGAUGACGUGCCCAGACCAGGGAUUCUACCGACUCGGGUCUAAGCCCUUCACAGCCAUCUCAGCUCCAGCACUAGGCAGUCUUGCUCCUGGCUGCCAACAAGGCUGGUCAGUGAGAUUAAAGGAGGACAGGGAGCAGACAGUCCUCAGCGUGGAGUGAUGGGAUGGACUUCAGAUGAGAGCAGGUACACGCCUGGCAUGGUGUCCCGGCACUGAGGGAGGCUACAGCAGACUGUUCUCCAGAAAGAGCCCUGCACUCCCUGACGAGGAGGCGGCGAGCCCUUGAUUGCCACUGCCUGUGCAGGCGCCCCCGGCCACACCGCCCUGCCUUCCAGUAUCUGGGCUGCCCACAGGUCUAUCGGUCUGACUCUAACUAGCUCUGUGGUUCGGGUGAAGUCAUUUCUCUUCG
Molecule: long non-coding RNA, 980 nt
Filed under: Capra hircus (goat)
Lineage: Eukaryota; Metazoa; Chordata; Mammalia; Artiodactyla; Bovidae
Description: lncRNA (ENSCHIG00000002190.1)
Source: RNAcentral